This 232-nucleotide ribosomal RNA is filed under the name uncultured bacterium. RNAcentral's name for it is "partial 16S ribosomal RNA". It matches the Rfam family "Bacterial small subunit ribosomal RNA", at positions 99 to 334 of the family's 1533-position model. The record is from RNAcentral.
CGGACGGGUGAGUAAUGUCUGGGAAACUGCCCGAUGGAGGGGGAUAACUGCUGGAAACGGUAGCUAAUACCGCAUAACGUCGCAAGACCAAAGAGGGGGACCUUCGGGCCUCUUGCCAUCGGAUGUGCCCAGAUGGGAUUAGCUAGUAGGUGGGGUAACGGCUCACCUAGGCGACAAUCCCUAGCUGGUCUGAGAGGAUGACCAGCCACACUGGAACUGAGACACGGUCCAG